This 1129-nucleotide long non-coding RNA is filed under the name Felis catus (domestic cat). Its description in RNAcentral is "lncRNA (ENSFCAG00000051103.1)". The record is from RNAcentral. Lineage: Eukaryota; Metazoa; Chordata; Mammalia; Carnivora; Felidae.
CUAGGGUUAAGUGGGGUGAGUAGGCGGUCUCUUCCUGAAGGUAAUGCGUUCUAAGGUGCACUAAAUUGUCCGGCCUUGGACACAGGCCCCACAGACAGGGAUUAAGGCGCGUAGUGACAGUGCACUUAUUCCCAGCCUGGGUCACUCAAAUCGCCUACAAGGUCCUGACCACAGCUCCAUGGCUCCCCAUACAGAUAUUCACGUGGGGGAGAGCAUGUAUUUCUCUCUCUUUCUAAUGGAAACCUUUAUCACUAUCAUAGGCAGGCGGAAGAGAAAAUUACAGCCAAAUGGAGAGCAAAUGAGGUUCUACAGAAGUCGAAGCAACACUGGCUUUAUAGCUUUUUUUCCCCUUUCAAUUUAUUCUUUGUUCAUCGCUACAGUUGGUGGUGUUAACCGGCCUCGAGUCCUUGGACCCCACAAAGGCAGAAACCAGCUGGACCCCAAAUUUAAAAGCACAGGAAAAGUGCUAACAGCCUUCAGGCUGCAGAGAGUUUCCCUCUCUGCACAGGGGCUUGUUCCCAAGGUCCCCAACCCGCUCACCACCAUCGCUGAAGAUCUAAAGGACAGAAAAACGUAUUAACAUGUAGUGAAAAGAGCUCUAGAUUUGGAAGCAGGGGACCUGAAAUCUGCUCUUCUUUCAACACUUCUUAGCUGUUUAAUCAUUAAAUUGAUUACCAUGAACAAUUUAUCCCAUGACAUAUCAUUUCUCUUCUCCCAUUAAAUCUUCCACUCCCUCCUUGUCUGAAUGGAUUAGCCUCUGAGGGCCACAGUUAGCUCCUGUAUAAGAUAAGAACAGUAAUGUCUAUCCCCUCGUGCAAGGCGGGUGGGGGGUCUGGACAAGGUCAGUUCUUGUACACAUCAGUUCAGUGAUCAGAGAAUCCUAUGAAUUAGAGAAAGCCAGCUGUAAGCUGGUGCCUGGUUCCCGACCAUGAGGCAAUGAUAAAAUAUGCCAAUGAUGAGAUAUGCCAAUGUCUGGCAGCCAUUAGGACAAAUAGUUACUUAGAGAUAACCAGUAUGCACCCUACCAAUGCUGAAGAUAAUUUUUAUUGAGAGUAGGCACACCUCGGAGAUAGUGUGGGUUCAGUCCCAGACCACUGCAAUAAAGGAAAUAUCUCAAUAAAGCGAGCCA